CCAAAGUAAGCCCAUAAAAUUGUUAAGUAAAAAGACUCAAAACUAUAGACUAGUUUUUUCGAAUUGGGGGGUUCAUCACGAUUUGGGCCAGUGAUGCAAAUCCUAUUUCUUUUUUUAAAAUAAAACAAUUUGGGGCUUCAGCCCAUUUUCCUCUGACCCUACUCCUCCCCCUUUCUCUCAGGUGUUCUCCCUCUCUCACACUACUCGAUCUCUCUCUGCCUCUCUUACACUCAUCUCUGUCGACCUCCUCUUCUCUCUCACACUCGAUAUCUCCAUCUUUCUCUCUGUAUGAGACAUUGACGGCGACACAGAGGUCUUGGCGACGACGACUUAGGCGCAAACGAGGGUGAUAGGUGGUGGGGAUUGCAGCGAGUUUGGGGGGCUCGACAUCAAUGGACAUAUACAUACUUUGAUGAGGCCCAUAGUAUUGGAGCAGUAGGGAAGUCUCGAAGAGGUGUUUGUGAGCUCUUGGGUGUGGAUCCAAAUGAUGUAGAUGUCAUGAUGAGAACUUUUACAAAAUCAUUAGAUUGAUUAUUAAAUUUCCUAGUUUUGUAUUAUAAAUGUGAUAAGAUUGAAUAUUCAUCUUUGUUCCUAAAUUUGUUUUUUUAGGUUUGUAACUAUAUCAUUGGAUGAUGUAUAAGUUUGGUUAUUUUAAUCUAUAAGUUUUCAGAUUUGUAUAUAAA
This is a long non-coding RNA of Humulus lupulus (European hop), 683 nucleotides long. RefSeq lists it as uncharacterized. Lineage: Eukaryota; Viridiplantae; Streptophyta; Magnoliopsida; Rosales; Cannabaceae. The transcript has 2 exons. The record is from RefSeq and is a predicted model, not a curated record.